RNAcentral lists this long non-coding RNA (416 nucleotides) under Anser brachyrhynchus (Pink-footed goose). RNAcentral's name for it is "lncRNA (ENSABRG00000010887.1)". The record is from RNAcentral. Lineage: Eukaryota; Metazoa; Chordata; Aves; Anseriformes; Anatidae.
CUUGUUGGUUUUUCCCUUUACCUGAGUCUUGUUUUCUCCACAGGGGGUCCCCCUGUUUUCUUCCCACCGCUGAAGAAAGAGUAGAAAAACAAACCUUUUGUACCUUAUUUCUUCUGCCCUCUGUCACCCAUGGAGUUUCAGCACUGGGAACUGAGAUUGAAAUAUCACAUGCCAGCAAAGAAAAAGAUUCUGUUGUGUGCCUUGUGCUUCUUUUUGGGUUGGAUGCUUCUGAGAGAGAUGAAGAGCGGGCAGCUGGUGCUUGAGGAAAGGCAAGAUUUCAGAUCUGUGUCCUCCACUUGGUUGGGGAUAUUCAUAGUACAGAUCAUCAUUUAUUUGUCACUGGAAAGUUGAUAUGAAGAAGCAAGCAGAACCUUGCCCAGUUAAAAAUAUAUGGAUCAGGAAAAUCAAAGAAAAAG